GGGGAAGACGGGAGAAGAGGAAGGGACAGGACAUUCCACUUAGACAAUCAAACUUGAAGUGUUUACGGUCUAGGGUAGAUGUCCAACAGGGAGCAGGGACUAUCAAUCUGGAACUCAGAGACGAAACCAUGGAGUGACAGUCCUGGCCGACCAACCCUGCCCUCAGCUGGGCCUCACCAGCCAACCACCAUGAGCACACAGAAUGGCAGUGACACACAAGACAGCCCAGCACUGAGUGACUCAGUCAUUACAACCUAUCACCUAAACCCAACAAAGAUUGUGACUUGGUUCACCAAACCAAUAGGAAGUCAACAUUAUUCGGGAGGACAGCUUUCACCACAAGUUAAAACAGAGCAACAGUGUAACAGAGAGAGCACUGGAGACCAAAUGAGGAAAUGACACCUGCCUUCUAGAAGUUCAAUUUCUGCUAAUAACCAGUUUUCAGGUGUUCUCCAAACAAUCCAAAGAAGUUUCCGGGAUCCUGGCAAGGCUGCCUUCCUGGGGCAGAGCCAUGGUUUCCUCCACCCGUGUGUCAGGACAUAAUUUCACAAACCGGGGUAUCUACUUCACCAUUAACAAUGCAGUCAUCUUGAUUUCCAGAACUUACUGACUCAUCCACAGUCCUCAGGGGCCCCAACAGCUCUACAAAACCUUCUGGAAAAAUGCCUCUUCGGCCCUCUAACUCCCCUUCAAACCAGCCUGGUUCAGGAACUCCAAUAAUGGUGAUCACAUCCCCUUCCCUGAAGUCCAGCUCUUCAUCCAGCUGAGCAGAAAGCCCCAUUAGGGCCCGGGCUUGUCCCAUGGAAUAUUCCGGAAUCUGAAACAGGGCGCUCUGGGAGUGCCACUGCCGGCUCUGUGAGGAGAGGCAGAGCUCGCGGACACAUGAAGAUGGGAAGAAGCCCCGUGCGCCCCAGCAGCUUCGGCCCUGCAGCCAGCCUGCAGUGGGAAUGCCAUCGAGAAUCACCAGGUCACCUAAAGAAAAGAGGAGCAGAGAUGGUGACCUCAGUCAUCACCCAGCAGAACAUUAUCACGACUAAUAGUGCAACCUCUCAUUUUAAACAGCUACCAAAUUCAAGGAAAUACACCUAGAGCUUUAGGAGCAUGAACAAUUUUGACAAUUUAUUGAAUUGGAGCAGUUCUAUAAACCUGUAGUUUUCAGAGUGUUCCAUGGAACCCUACAGGUGGGUCUCCAAGAUCCUAGCAGAGAAUCUGUGAGGUCAAAACCAUUCUCAUAAUAACACUAAGACUUUAUCUACAUAUUUUACUCUGCUGACUUUUGUAAUCUCUGUGAAAAAGCAAUGGUGAUUAAAACUGCUGGCCAGCUAGGUGCUGUGGCUUACACCAGAAAUCCGAGCACUUUGGGAGGCCAAGGCAGGAGGAUCGCUUGAGACCAGGAGUUCAAAACCAGCCUGGGCAACAUGUCAAGACCUUGUCUCUACAAUAAAUUUAAAAAUUAGCUGUGCACUGUGGCUCAUGCCUGUAGUCCCAGCUAUUCAGGAGGCUGAGGUGGGAGGAUAGCUUGAACCCAGGAGGUCAAGGCUGCAGUAAGCUGUGAUUUCACCACUACGCUCCAGUCUGGGUGACAGAGCAACACUUGUCUCAAAAAUAAAAAUAAAAUGGCUGGGCGCGAUGGCUCAUGCCUGUGAUCCCAGCACUUUGGGAGGCCAAGGCAGGCGGAUCACUUGAGGUCAGGAGUUCGAGAGCAGCCUGGUCAACAUGGUGAAACACCAUCUCUACUAAAAAUACAAAAAUUAGCUGAGCAUGGUGGCACGUGCCUGUAGUCCCAGCUAUUCAGGAGGCUGAGGCAGAAAUUAAACUCAGGAGGCAGAGGUCGCAGUGAGCCGAGAUCGCACCACUGCACUCCAGCUUGGGCAACAGAGCAAGACUCCAUCUCAAAAAAAUAAUAAAUUAAUUAAAAACUGCUGGCAAUUCAUAAGCAAAGGCAGUAGCCACAAAUUACAUGAAUAGUCACUGUAUGGUCAUCGUAUUCUUCACAACCAUGUACUCACAGUUUUUAAAAAAGCCAUUUUCAGUUAAGAAGCAAUACAAAUUAUGCACUGUGCUAAAUCUCAACCCUUAAGAACAAUUCUUUUGUAAUAUUCUGUGUGACAAUAUAGGAAUUACACAUAAAGCACUUUUACUGCUGAGGAGAAGCACGAGUAACUGAGUUAUAUGCCUGAACCGUCUGUUUAUUUUCACAUAACACCAUUUUAUGUGCAAGAAUGAAUAACAGACAACUAUGUUUAUUCAGACUUAGAUAUCUGGCAGAUGUUUCCUCCAAAAUGAAAGUGAGUCUGAAACAUCAAGGAGAACAAAUGACAGUAUUUGUUGCCAAUGAUAAAAUUCCAACUUCCAAGAGAAAAUGAGAAUUUUGGAAAACUUGUAUCUACUACCAUGGGCUUGGCAGCUUUCCCAUACUUAAAGAUUCUUCUGAUGAGAUAGUAACAAAUAUGAUUUUUUCACAUUGUAUGUUGAAAUGGUCAACAUUUGGAAUAACUGAGUAGCUAAUUGAAUCAAUAUUUCCUAAAUGACAAAUGCAUGCUGGUAUAAAAUCAUUCAUGGCUAAAAGAUUCACACUCCAAAAGCAAGAUAGAUUAAUGAAUUUUAGUGUAAUAUUAUGAAAGUUCACCGACGUAGUUUCAGAUCCCACACUGCAAUUAACUCGUAAGAAAUUACCAAUCGUUGAAUUUUGGUGCAGUGUCAACGAUGAAUAUUUGCAAUUAUUUGAAAAGACUAUUAAAAUACCUUUUCCUGUCUCCCAUUGCAUAUUUGUGUAAGGCUGGAUUUUCUUCACAUAAUUCCAUGAAAACAACACAUUGCAACAGAUUGAAUACAGAUGCAAAUAGAAUCUGGUUUUCUUUUAGUAAGUUGAACAUUAAAAAUAUUUACGAACAUGUAAAGCAAUGUCAUUCCUCAUUAAUUUUUUUUUGUUUGGAAAGCUAUACUUAUUUUUCAUAAAAAUAUGUUAUUUACGUAAAUAUGUAAUGGGUUUUUAAUAGAC
Molecule: long non-coding RNA, 3001 nt
Filed under: Homo sapiens (human)
Lineage: Eukaryota; Metazoa; Chordata; Mammalia; Primates; Hominidae
Description: HSALNT0167002
Source: RNAcentral